UCUUGGUCAUUUAGAGGAAGUAAAAGUCGUAACAAGGUCUCCGUAGGUGAACCUGCGGAGGGAUCAUUACAAGUGACCCCGGCUACGGCCGGGAUGUUCAUAACCCUUUGUUGUCCGACUCUGUUGCCUCCGGGGCGACCCUGCCUUCGGGCGGGGGCUCCGGGUGGACACUUCAAACUCUUGCGUAACUUUGCAGUCUGAGUAAACUUAAUUAAUAAAUUAAAACUUUUAACAACGGAUCUCUUGGUUCUGGCAUCGAUGAAGAACGCAGCGAAAUGCGAUAAGUAAUGUGAAUUGCAGAAUUCAGUGAAUCAUCGAAUCUUUGAACGCACAUUGCGCCCCCUGGUAUUCCGGGGGGCAUGCCUGUUCGAGCGUCAUUUCACCACUCAAGCCUCGCUUGGUAUUGGGCAACGCGGUCCGCCGCGUGCCUCAAAUCGUCCGGCUGGGUCUUCUGUCCCCUAAGCGUUGUGGAAACUAUUCGCUAAAGGGUGUUCGGGAGGCUACGCCGUAAAACAACCCCAUUUCUAAGGUUGACCUCGGAUCAGGUAGGGAUACCCGCUGAACUUAAGCAUAUCAAUAAGCGGAGGA
RNAcentral lists this ribosomal RNA (588 nucleotides) under Cladosporium cucumerinum. RNAcentral describes it as "eukaryotic LSU rRNA". The stretch from base 224 to 377 matches the Rfam family "5.8S ribosomal RNA". The record is from RNAcentral. Lineage: Eukaryota; Fungi; Ascomycota; Dothideomycetes; Cladosporiales; Cladosporiaceae.